UGUUUCGAAAGGGGCAUCAGGGAAAGGUGACAGACAGAUGCACUAAAAAGAUCCUCUGUGAAGACGUAACUCGGAAGAAGGAAAGUUGUUGUGAAGUUUCGAUGGAAGGGACAAACACAGGCUCGGUCAGCGGUUUGCAACACCGCAUGGUAGGAAACAUAACAGUUAGGUGAUUCUGGAAGCGAUCUGGAAAUGGAGGAGGAAGUGUUAGGUGCGGAGUGUGCUGAUCUCACUAGAGAUGCACUUGAAGCUUGUGUUGGUCUUGGUUGAUGACAUCAUCAGAAGUAUGUCUGAGCCUAAUGGAGAGGUCACAUCGUUCUGUGUCCGUAACAAAACUGCUGGAGGUCAAGAAAAGAGGAACCUUUAAGAUUGAAUCAAUGUUUUCUCUACAGCUUCUGUCUGUCUGGACUCUCUGAUCUUCAGUGUUUUCAUCACUGUCAUAUAAUGCUGACAGAUGAGGGAGUAAUCUUUCAAGAUUUCAGUUAGUAUUCCUAUUGUCACUUUUACAUUGUUAAUAGUUGUAAGAACAGCUACUGUAUUUAAAAUCAAUUACAAAAAUAUAUAUAUUUUACAACACAUUGUUUCAUUGUACCUUUACAGAAAAUUAUUCCAUAAUAUGUAAAUUUGGGUGUGGGGUCUCUUUUGGCUAAACUUAGUUAUUAACAAGUCACAGUAGUUUAGUAUAAGAUAUAUUUUGGUAGAGAAAAAUGAACCUAUAACACUUAAGUGUCAGGCUAAUUUAAGGCCCAUCUCGUACUGUUUGCUGAGGUGAAGUAGUUGUUAAGAUAAUUCUUGUAUCUGUAUUUGGGACUUUCACUUUACUAAAUGUUCCUCAUGCAAAUGAGUAAUGUCUUGAAUUUACAAUCUGCUCCAACUAAAGUUCCUAAUGUGAUUCUAAUCUGGGGAUCUGGUACAAACCCUAUGGAGUUUAUCAGAUAUUGUGGGCACAUGUAUCAUGCUUGCUCAAGUGCAAAUAAGUUGGAAAUUUCCAUCCUAAUGUUUCAAAAUAAAAAAAUAAAGCUACAAUGUUACCAUG
Paramisgurnus dabryanus is the source of this 1036-nucleotide long non-coding RNA. RefSeq lists it as uncharacterized. The record is from RefSeq and is a predicted model, not a curated record. NCBI's taxonomy places the organism in Eukaryota, Metazoa, Chordata, Actinopteri, Cypriniformes, Cobitidae.